CUGCAAUAGCUCCAUGACUAACAGGUAACAGUAGUAACCUGCAAUAGCUCCAUGACUAACUGGUAACAGUAGUAACCUGCAAUAGCUCCAUGACUAACUGGUAACAGUAGUAACCUGCAAUAGCUCCAUGACUAACAGGUAACAGUAGUAACCUGCAAUAGCUCCAUGACUAACUGGUAACAGGAACCUGCAAUAGCUCCAUGACUAACAGGUAACAGUAGUAACCUGCAAUAGCUCCAUGACUAACAGGUAACAGUAGUAACCUGCAAUAGCUCCAUGACUAACUGGUAACAGUAGUAACCUGCAAUAGCUCCAUGACUAACUGGUAACAGUAGUAACCUGCAAUAGCUCCAUGACUAACAGGUAACAGUAGUAACCUGCAAUAGCUCCAUGACUAACUGGUAACAGGAACCUGCAAUAGCUCCAUGACUAACUGGUAACAGGAACCUGCAAUAGCUCCAUGACUAACAGGUAACAGUAGUAACCUGCAAUAGCUCCAUGACUAACUGGUAACAGGAACCUGCAAUAGCUCCAUGACUAACUGGUAACAGGAACCUGCAAUAGCUCCAUGACUAACUGGUAACAGGAACCUGCAAUAGCUCCAUGACUAACAGGUAACAGUAGUAACCUGCAAUAGCUCCAUGACUAACAGGUAACAGUAGUAACCUGCAAUAGCUCCAUGACUAACAGGUAACAGUAGUAACCUGCAAUAGCUCCAUGACUAACAGGUAACAGUAGUAACCUGCAAUAGCUCCAUGACUAACUGGUAACAGGAACCUGCAAUAGCUCCAUGACUAACUGGUAACAGGAACCUGCAAUAGCU
Oncorhynchus keta (chum salmon) is the source of this 823-nucleotide long non-coding RNA. RefSeq lists it as uncharacterized. NCBI's taxonomy places the organism in Eukaryota, Metazoa, Chordata, Actinopteri, Salmoniformes, Salmonidae. The transcript has 3 exons. The record is from RefSeq and is a predicted model, not a curated record.